CGGGUGCGUAACACGUGACCAACCUGCCCUCGGUGUGGGGGAUAGCCGGGCUAACGCCCGGGUAAUACCGCAUACGGUCCUCUGGGGGAGUCCCUGGGGAAGAAAGCUCCGGCGCACGGGGAGGGGGUCGCGGCCUAUCAGCUAGUUGGUGCGGUAACGGCGCACCAAGGCGACGACGGGUAGCUGGUCUGAGAGGAUGGCCAGCCACAUUGGGACUGAGAGACGGCCCAG
RNAcentral lists this ribosomal RNA (231 nucleotides) under uncultured bacterium. RNAcentral's name for it is "partial 16S ribosomal RNA". It matches the Rfam family "Bacterial small subunit ribosomal RNA", at positions 103 to 334 of the family's 1533-position model. The record is from RNAcentral.